RNAcentral lists this non-coding RNA (106 nucleotides) under Peptococcaceae bacterium. Its description in RNAcentral is "SAM-I sequence". It matches the Rfam family "SAM riboswitch aptamer (S box leader)". From Rfam's summary of the family: The SAM riboswitch is found upstream of a number of genes which code for proteins involved in methionine or cysteine biosynthesis in Gram-positive bacteria. The SAM riboswitch acts at the level of transcription termination control. Lineage: Bacteria; Bacillati; Bacillota; Clostridia; Eubacteriales; Peptococcaceae. The record is from RNAcentral.
CUCUUAUCCAGAGAGGUGGAGGGACUGGCCCGAUGAAACCCGGCAACCGGAUGCGCAGCAUAACCGGUGCCAAUUCCUGCUGGAUCGCGAUCCAGAGAGAUAAGAG